RNAcentral lists this ribosomal RNA (292 nucleotides) under uncultured bacterium. RNAcentral describes it as "partial 16S ribosomal RNA". It matches the Rfam family "Bacterial small subunit ribosomal RNA", at positions 505 to 796 of the family's 1533-position model. The record is from RNAcentral.
GUGUCAGCCGCCGCGGUAAUACAGAGGUCCCGAGCGUUGUUCGGAUUUAUUGGGCGUAAAGGGUGCGUAGGCGGCGGAGUAAGUUGGGUGUGAAAUCCCGGGGCUCAACCUCGGAAUUGCAUUCAAUACUGCUUCGCUCGAGUACUGGAGAGGAGGCUGGAAUUUACGGUGUAGCAGUGAAAUGCGUAGAUAUCGUAAGGAAGGCCGGUGGCGAAAGCGAGCCUCUGGACAGUUACUGACGCUGAUGCACGAAGGCCAGGGGAGCAAACGGGAUUAGAUACCCCCGUAGUCC